RNAcentral lists this non-coding RNA (30 nucleotides) under Mus musculus (house mouse). Lineage: Eukaryota; Metazoa; Chordata; Mammalia; Rodentia; Muridae. The record is from RNAcentral.
UGCCUGUUCCACUAUUCAUAUGCUGAUGGU